GUGCUUGGAUGAAUGCUGUUAAUGAUGUGUGAAGCCAUCUAUGUGAGAUUUUAUUCUGUUGUAUUUGUCUUCAUAAAGCACAGUGAUUAGAAUCCACAGAAACCUCAUGCAUCCAUUUUUACAUUCAAAUCUCAGACAGUGGUCAUUUGUUGGAACAUUUCUUGAAGGUGUGGAGAUUUACAAAGUGAUCAUUGCAGUAGCUGAGCUUCUGUCCACAAGUGACAUCUUCUAGUCCUCCAGCUUUGACACCAGGGGCUUUUCUGUCUUCUAUUAUGAGAUAAAUGCUGACAGUCACCUGUGAAACAAAUAGUGAAAGCCACUUUCUUUUGUUUUGGUUUUUUUGAGACAGGGUCUCACUAUGUAGCUGAGACAGACCAGGAACUCACUGUGUAGCCCAGGCUGGUCUCGAACUCACAGCGAUCCUCCUGUCUCAGCCUCCCAAUUCCUGGGAUUACAGGCAUGCGCCACCACUCCUGGCAUGAAAGUCAUUUUUGAUUUCUUUAUUUUUUUUCAUAUGCUAAGCAGUUACUCAAUGUUACAGCCUCCUGCUCUUCUCCCUUUUCCUCCUCCUCUUCUUUUUAUUUUCUCCUCCUCUUCUUGCUCUGCCUUCUCCUCCUCCCCAAUUCCUUGUACAAAGGAAACGAGAAUGAGCUCCCCUCCCUGAGGCCUGUCGUGCAGCACAUCUUGGAUGUUGUCCAGUGUGACUUGAACCCACAGCAACAUUCAGGGCUCUGCUCUUCACUAAUUGACCUUUCACCCCACCUGGCCUUCAGCCUCUCCACUUACUGCUCCUAAAUCACAGAGCUCCGUGUUCAUGUAACACUUGCUUUCCCAGGGUCAUCCGAAGUUUUCCCAACACGGGGCUGUGCAUUUAUUUCCCUAGUACACAUCCACACCGUGCCUUGUGACCUUUGACACACCCUUUUCACGCUUCAUGAUGAAGGCACGCAGGCUGGUGAACAGAGAGGCGAACUUGGUGUGGUACCCUUGGUGUCCUUGCCACAGCUGCCAAGACAGCCUUGGUCUCAUUGCCGCUCCAGACUUCGUCCGUCGUCCUGCAGCCUGGCCUGUCCCACCUACGCAAGAGCAGUUCCAUGCCUUAAACCUUUGUGCAAAACUUCAGAGUCUCCUAUGCUGUUCCCUUUUCAUUGAACAGAACUUUUGUCUCCCUGAAACUGACAAAUCAUACAAAACUUCUCGGCAGUAUGGCAUUCAUGGGUGUGCGAUUCCUAAGGCCCUGUGAAGACAUCCGGGGACAGUGGCUGGCUCCAACAUCCAGUGUUUAGGCUGACACUGUGAAACUCUUUCUUAUUCAUGAGGACAUUUUUCGCAGCCUUCAUGUUUAUCCAACAUGACUCGCCAGUAUGAUCAGGGCGAUUAAGUUUCGAUCUUCAAUUUCCUCGUGUCUUUGAAACCUCACGAUGAGGGCAAAGGAAAAACAGUGAGUGACAAAGUUCUUUUCCCUGAAAAGUCAAAUAAAAAAACGGACUAGGAUCCUUUUACAUUACGUUUGAAGUAUUCCCUUAUAUUGGAUUUAUUAAAAUCUCAGGAGUUAAUCAUUAGCUCUGGAAAAGAAGCACCGCUGUUUUUCAAAGAAUAUGCAAUAAAACAUGAAGAGACUUUCUGGCCAUUGUGAAAAGUCUUGGGUGGGUAGAGGCCUUUGUUCACUUUUCCCCCUGAUGCUGAAUCAGGGUGUGGCCUCUUGUCUAGGACUGCAGCUCCUCCA
Fukomys damarensis (Damara mole-rat) is the source of this 1726-nucleotide long non-coding RNA. Lineage: Eukaryota; Metazoa; Chordata; Mammalia; Rodentia; Bathyergidae. The record is from Ensembl.